AGUGUGCAUACAUGGGGGUCCAUUCCCCCAAGACUAGGCUAGGCUGGGAGAGGAGGUGGAAGGUCUGUACAGAGCAGGUCCCGGUAGUCCUUGACAGCUGUUCUCUGGGCUCUCCCAUCUGCACUGGGAAAGAGAGCCUCCAGGCUGGUGAGCUGUGCUCAGUGGCUGCCUGAGCGCCUUUAGUAAGCUGUUUACAUCUCUGCUGAAUCACAGGAGGGAAUCCCGGUUCACUCUUGGGAGUUUUGCCACCAAAAUGUUGCAGGACUUUAUGUCGUGGAGGUCCCCAGGGACUCUGAGCGUCUGUGUGUUUACCCCACUCUCCCCCACCCAGACUUAGCUUGGCUUUUGUGCUUUUGUGUCUCUUUCUGUGGCUCCUAGCACUCAUCAGCGUGAGUAAAGCAAACGCUUGCAGACUGACACCUGGAUGGAUAAAGGAACCAAUUCCUGUCACAAGAGUGGAAGCUAAACAAGCCUUCAGCCUGUUUUCCGAGCCUAUGGUGAGGAGGCUCAGGCUGGAUACCACGUCCUCUGUCUUCUGCCAGGCUGUCAUCAGACUCAGCACUUUGCCUCUGAAACAAGACACCUCAAGAGAUUGGGUAGCUGACAGGAUUGGGACCUCAAAGAGGAGCACCCCGUCGUCAUUAUCCUACUCCCCACCCAGGAACCCUACCUCCCCCAGCUUCACUGGCCAGGAACCAGGAGUUGCAAUCAGCGGGAAAAGGCACAAGCCCGGGGCCUCAGCUCUGAUUGGCUGCCCUAAGAAAGACGGAGGCACAGGGACUGAAGGAACGGAGUUAAGGUUUCACCUUCGAGGGUUCCCCAGACCCGACCCACCAGCUGCGAUUGAGAUGGGCACAGCUCAGGGCUCCAGUUUGAGACACUCCACUGCCUGGGCUCAGGAGCUCAAGAUCGAGAGGAUUUUGUUGAGCGCCCGCCUGAGCGUACCUCCACUUCCCUGCGCAAAGGCAGCAAGAGCUAUUGGUCUGAGGGUCAGCGGGGCGUGCCUGCCACCGCCACCACCACCACCAACUGAGGCUCUCUCCUAAAAUGACACUCACACCCGUUCUCCACCAAGCUUCUCUGGGCCUCGUCCUUCUACCUCACAACCUCUUGAACUUGAACCUUCAGAGACUUCUGGAAACUCUGUUAAGGUCACACAGCUAGUGGGAAGGCAAGCUGGCUCAAAGCCAGUGUGUUAAGCAUUUUCCCCUAGACAUACACAGGGCAGGGAACACACCCAUAGGCUUGGGCUCUGUGACUCUGCCAUCAGCUGUCAGGUUGAGGACCUCAAACAUCUGGCUCAGCAGAUACGACGGAUCAAGUGGGGCUGCAGCUGUUCUGAAGGGAGGGGCUGUCCCUCCUGUUAGGGUGUGACCCUUUUCUAGGAGAACUCGGGUUUUUUCAUCAAUAUAGGCAGGGAGAGAAUUUUCUCAAC
This 1435-nucleotide long non-coding RNA is filed under the name Mus spicilegus (steppe mouse). RNAcentral describes it as "lncRNA (ENSMSIG00000028041.1)". The record is from RNAcentral. Lineage: Eukaryota; Metazoa; Chordata; Mammalia; Rodentia; Muridae.